This 245-nucleotide unclassified non-coding RNA is filed under the name Hevea brasiliensis (rubber tree). The record is from RNAcentral. Lineage: Eukaryota; Viridiplantae; Streptophyta; Magnoliopsida; Malpighiales; Euphorbiaceae.
AUGAUUCUAAUGCUUGUCUCUCUAAUUAGCCAAAAAUUGAUCCAAGUAUACACAUCAUAAUAACAAUGGAAAUAGCAAUACUGUUAAAACUCAAAUAAAAAGAAUAAGAUAAUGUUCUCUCUUGGCUUUCUCAGGUUGCAAACUAACACAGUGUUUUAAGUAAAAAAUUCAGAACCACUUGGCCAAAGUUACAGCAUAUCAAACUAUUUGCAAAAGAGCGAGACCUCUUUUAUCAUUGUCAACAA